RNAcentral lists this ribosomal RNA (496 nucleotides) under uncultured bacterium. Its description in RNAcentral is "partial 16S ribosomal RNA". It matches the Rfam family "Bacterial small subunit ribosomal RNA", at positions 28 to 506 of the family's 1533-position model. The record is from RNAcentral.
GAUGAACGCUGGCGGCGUGCCUAAUACAUGCAAGUCGAGCGAACAGACGAGGAGCUUGCUCCUCUGACGUUAGCGGCGGACGGGUGAGUAACACGUGUAUAACCUACCUAUAAGACUGGGAUAACUUCGGGAAACCGGAGCUAAUACCGGAUAAUAUAUUGAACCGCAUGGUUCAAUAGUGAAAGACGGUUUUGCUGUCACUUAUAGAUGGAUCCGCGCCGCAUUAUCUAGUUGGUAAGGUAACGGCUUACCAAGGCGACGAUGCGUAGCCGACCUGAGAGGGUGAUCGGCCACACUGGAACUGAGACACGGUCCAGACUCCUACGGGAGGCAGCAGUAGGGAAUCUUCCGCAAUGGGCGAAAGCCUGACGGAGCAACGCCGCGUGAGUGAUGAAGGUCUUCGGAUCGUAAAACUCUGUUAUUAGGGAAGAACAAAUGUGUAAGUAACUAUGCACGUCUUGACGGUACCUAAUCAGAAAGCCACGGCUAACUACGU